UACGUAGGGUGCAAGCGUUGUCCGGAAUUAUUGGGCGUAAAGAGCUCGUAGGCGGCUUGUCGCGUCGGCUGUGAAAACCUGGGGCUCAACCCCGGGCCUGCAGUGGGUACGGGCAGACUAGAGUGUGGUAGGGGAGACUGGAAUUCCUGGUGUAGCGGUGAAAUGCGCAGAUAUCAGGAGGAACACCGAUGGCGAAGGCAGGUCUCUGGGCCACUACUGACGCUGAGAAGCGAAAGCAUGGGGAGCGAACAGG
RNAcentral lists this ribosomal RNA (253 nucleotides) under uncultured bacterium. RNAcentral's name for it is "partial 16S ribosomal RNA". It matches the Rfam family "Bacterial small subunit ribosomal RNA", at positions 524 to 776 of the family's 1533-position model. The record is from RNAcentral.